Medicago truncatula (barrel medic) is the source of this 195-nucleotide small nuclear RNA. It matches the Rfam family "U2 spliceosomal RNA". Rfam says of the family: U2 is a small nuclear RNA (snRNA) component of the spliceosome (involved in pre-mRNA splicing). The record is from Rfam. Lineage: Eukaryota; Viridiplantae; Streptophyta; Magnoliopsida; Fabales; Fabaceae.
AUACCUUUCUCGGCCUUUUGGCUAAGAUCAAGUGUAGUAUCUGUUCUUAUCAGUUUAAUAUCUGAUAUGUGACUCAAUGGGUCACACGAUAUUAAAUUACUUUUUUAAGGGGGAGAAGCCAUUUCAAUAGCUUGCUAUUGGGUUUCUCGAGUGUCGUCUAUGCGUUGCACUAUUGCAUAGGCUGGCACACCCCAC